Molecule: non-coding RNA, 273 nt
Filed under: unclassified sequences
Description: RAGATH-8 RNA
Rfam family: RAGATH-8 RNA
Source: Rfam by way of RNAcentral
AGCAAUCAAGAAAGCAGGAAAGAACGGGUGAAGCGAUAGGGCUAUGCGUAAGUGACAUGGUGGUCAUGCUGUUGGAUACAGAUGGAGCGUGUGAAGAAUAAACAAGACCCGUCAAAGUAGUUGAAGAAACCAGAAACAAUAAGUCAAUGAAGCAAAGUAUUUGCACUAUUUGAAGAAAGCAAAUAGGGUGAACCAAUCAUCACUUUAAACUUAAAACAAGAAGUUGUUAAGGGGAAGAAUCAACCAAGCGAGAUGACACAGCACUUGAUUGAA